RNAcentral lists this ribosomal RNA (305 nucleotides) under uncultured bacterium. RNAcentral's name for it is "bacterial SSU rRNA". It matches the Rfam family "Bacterial small subunit ribosomal RNA", at positions 337 to 639 of the family's 1533-position model. The record is from RNAcentral.
UCCUACGGGGGGCAGCAGUGAGGAAUAUUGGUCAAUGGCCGAGAGGCUGAACCAGCCAAGUCGCGUGAGGGAAGAAUGUCCUAUGGAUUGUAAACCUCUUUUGUCAGGGAGCAAAGUCACCCACGUGUGGGUGUUGGAGAGUACCUGAAGAAUAAGCACCGGCUAACUACGUGCCAGCAGCCGCGGUAAUACGUAGGGUGCGAGCGUUAAUCGGAAUUACUGGGCGUAAAGGGUGUGCAGGCGGCUGAGUAAGACAGAUGUGAAAUCCCCGGGCUUAACCUGGGAACCGCAUAUGUGACUGCUUG